CCUACGGGAGGCAGCAGUGGGGAAUAUUGCACAAUGGGGGAAACCCUGAUGCAGCAACGCCGCGUGAGUGAAGAAGUAUUUCGGUAUGUAAAGCUCUAUCAGCAGGGAAGAGAAUGAAGUUACCUGACUAACAAGCACCGGCUAACUACGUGCCAGCAGCCGCGGGAAGACGGAGGGCGCGAGCGUUAAUCGGAAUUACUGGGCGUAAAGCGCUCGUGGGCGGUAUGUCAAGUAAAGGGUGAAAGCCCCGCGCUCAACGUGGGAACUGCCUGUGAAACUGGCAAACUGGAGUGCGUGAGAGGAUAGUGGAAUUCCAGGUGUAGGAGUGAAAUCCGUAGAUAUCUGGAGGAACAUCAGUGGCGAAGGCGACUAUCUGGCACAUAACUGACGCUGAGGAGCGAAAGCGUGGGUAGCAAACAGGAUUAGAUACCCGGGUAGUC
RNAcentral lists this ribosomal RNA (440 nucleotides) under uncultured bacterium. RNAcentral describes it as "partial 16S ribosomal RNA". It matches the Rfam family "Bacterial small subunit ribosomal RNA", at positions 338 to 795 of the family's 1533-position model. The record is from RNAcentral.